UACGUAGGGUGCUAGCGUUGUCCGGAAUCAUUGGGCGUAAAGCGCGUGUAGGCGGCCCGGUAAGUCCGCUGUGAAAGCCGGGGGCUCAACCCUCGGAUGGCGGUGGAUACUGUCGGGCUAGAGUACGGAAGAGGCGAGUGGAAUUCCUGGUGUAGAGGUGAAAUGCGCAGAUAUCAGGAGGAACACCAAUUGCGAAGGCAGCUCGCUGGGACGGCACUGACGCUGAGACACGAAAGCGUGGGGAGCAAACAGG
RNAcentral lists this ribosomal RNA (253 nucleotides) under uncultured bacterium. RNAcentral's name for it is "partial 16S ribosomal RNA". It matches the Rfam family "Bacterial small subunit ribosomal RNA", at positions 524 to 776 of the family's 1533-position model. The record is from RNAcentral.